Molecule: ribosomal RNA, 492 nt
Filed under: uncultured bacterium
Lineage: Bacteria
Description: partial 16S ribosomal RNA
Rfam family: Bacterial small subunit ribosomal RNA
Source: RNAcentral
GAUGAACGCUAGCUACAGGCUUAACACAUGCAAGUCGAGGGGAAACGACAUCGAAAGCUUGCUUUUGAUGGGCGUCGACCGGCGCACGGGUGAGUAACGCGUAUCCAACCUGCCCAUCACUUGGGAAUAACCUUGCGAAAGUAAGACUAAUACCCAAUGACAUCCCACGAAGACAUCUGAAUGGGAUUAAAGAUUUAUCGGUGAUGGAUGGGGAUGCGUCUGAUUAGCUUGUUGGCGGGGUAACGGCCCACCAAGGCAACGAUCAGUAGGGGUUCUGAGAGGAAGGUCCCCCACAUUGGAACUGAGACACGGUCCAAACUCCUACGGGAGGAAGCAGUGAGGAAUAUUGGUCAAUGGGCGAGAGCCUGAACCAGCCAAGUAGCGUGCAGGAUGACGGCCCUAUGGGCUGUAAACUGCUUUUAUAAGGGAAUAAAGUGGGUCUCGUGAGACUUUUUGCAUGUACCUUAUGAAUAAGGACCGGCUAAUUCCGUG